RNAcentral lists this ribosomal RNA (479 nucleotides) under unidentified microorganism. RNAcentral's name for it is "bacterial SSU rRNA". It matches the Rfam family "Bacterial small subunit ribosomal RNA", at positions 953 to 1432 of the family's 1533-position model. The record is from RNAcentral.
GAUGCAACGCGAAAAACCUUACCCACCUUUGACAUGUACGGAAUUUGCCAGAGAUGGCUUAGUGCUCGAAAGAGAGCCGUAACACAGGUGCUGCAUGGCUGUCGUCAGCUCGUGUCGUGAGAUGUUGGGUUAAGUCCCGCAACGAGCGCAACCCUUGUCAUUAGUUGCUACAUUUAGUUGGGCACUNUAAUGAGACUGCCGGUGACAAACCGGAGGAAGGUGGGGAUGACGUCAAGUCCUCAUGGCCCUUAUAGGUGGGGCUACACACGUCAUACAAUGGCUGGUACAAAGGGUUGCCAACCCGCGAGGGGGAGCUAAUCCCAUAAAACCAGUCGUAGUCCGGAUCGCAGUCUGCAACUCGACUGCGUGAAGUCGGAAUCGCUAGUAAUCGUGGAUCAGAAUGUCACGGUGAAUACGUUCCCGGGUCUUGUACACACCGCCCGUCACACCAUGGGAGCGGGUUCUGCCAGAAGUAGUUA